AAUGCAAGUGUUUAACAGAUGCUUCACUAUUAAAAUAUUUUUCCCCCCAAGUCUCAAAUAUUGAAGAAUCUCUAACCAGGCUCGAAACGCCAGUCUCAGUGGCCAUUGAGUUACCUACCCACCAAGUUACCCCGGUUAGAGCUGUUCGGGGUGGCUCACGUUAUUGCGGCAAACUUUGGAGAUGACCGCUGAGUCCUCCGGGCGAACGGUCAAGCCGAUUGUAAAUGCUGUUAUUUCCACAUCCUUCAGGGACACCAGCCCCAACGAAGACCUUGGGCGAUUUCAAAGUGCGGGCACCUCGAUUCCUCGAAUGUGUAGUGUGGCUGGUAUCGGUGUUUCCCUGGUUUAACUAGCCUGCUUGUAGAAGUGACUCUGACCGUUCCCUUAAGAAUCUUUAAUGCUCUUACAUGGUAUGAGCCUCAGAAUAUGCUAAGAACCCUCUGAAAGAACAUUAAGCCUGGAAGGUGACAGAAGGAGCAAUGUAUUCUUGAAGAUGUCACCUCAGCCCACCUGCUCCAAGGACAGUACUUCUUGCGACACUCUGAUGGCUCUGCAUUCUUUUCUGUACCAGGAAGGCGCAGAUCAUUCAUGGGGAA
This is a long non-coding RNA of Mandrillus leucophaeus (drill), 596 nucleotides long. RefSeq lists it as uncharacterized. The transcript has 4 exons. The record is from RefSeq and is a predicted model, not a curated record. NCBI's taxonomy places the organism in Eukaryota, Metazoa, Chordata, Mammalia, Primates, Cercopithecidae.